GACGAACGCCGGCGGCGUGCUUAACACAUGCAAGUCGAACGGAAAGGCCCUGCUUUUGUGGGGUGCUCGAGUGGCGAACGGGUGAGUAACACGUGAGUAACCUGCCCUUGACUUUGGGAUAACUUCAGGAAACUGGGGCUAAUACCGGAUAGGAGCUCCUGCUGCAUGGUGGGGGUUGGAAAGUUUCGGCGGUUGGGGAUGGACUCGCGGCUUAUCAGCUUGUUGGUGGGGUAGUGGCUUACCAAGGCUUUGACGGGUAGCCGGCCUGAGAGGGUGACCGGCCACAUUGGGACUGAGAUACGGCCCAGACUCCUACGGGAGGCAGCAGUGGGGAAUAUUGCACAAUGGGCGGAAGCCUGAUGCAGCAACGCCGCGUGCGGGAUGACGGCCUUCGGGUUGUAAACCGCUUUCGCCUGCGACGAAGCGUGAGUGACGGUAAUGGGUAAAGAAGCACCGGCUAACUACGUG
Molecule: ribosomal RNA, 468 nt
Filed under: uncultured bacterium
Lineage: Bacteria
Description: partial 16S ribosomal RNA
Rfam family: Bacterial small subunit ribosomal RNA
Source: RNAcentral